This 634-nucleotide unclassified non-coding RNA is filed under the name Volutaria saharae. RNAcentral describes it as "partial external transcribed spacer". Lineage: Eukaryota; Viridiplantae; Streptophyta; Magnoliopsida; Asterales; Asteraceae. The record is from RNAcentral.
AGCUGACGAGCGACUUGUGGAUCCUUGUCUGAAGUGCGAUUGGUUGCCCAAGCCCGGCUAGCGACCAGACGUCAGUAGGAUACGGUGAUGCAGGUGUGCUUCGAGGCAUGUYGGAUUCAAUAAUUUAUUUGUUACUUUCGCAUCGUUCGGUGCAUUCUGGGGACUGUUUUGGCUUUUGGUUGCUUGCUUGGCUUUUUGCUGGGUGGGUCGCUACUAGUUGGGCGGUUGGUGUUUGGUUUGUUACGGGUGGUUGGCUGUCUGCUUGCGCAGCAACGUCCACGCGUGCAUACCUCUUCAGUUUUGCGACAAGGCUUUGUUUGUCUUGAGCAUAUUGUGGGUUUCCUGUGUUGCAUACCUAAUCGAUGGUAAAGUGUGGGUUUUAUGAUGUCCCUUUUCGUCAUGCGUCGCUCAUGCGGCGUGGGAUGAACAUUGAAGCGGUCUUUGUGAUCCACAUUGUUGUUGCAUUUGCAACGAUGAUGUGGCCUAUGAAGCAUCGUUUGGUCUCUUGUAUACGGAACCUGAUGUGGGCAUGGAUCUUAUUAGAUCUUGAAUCUGCCCUCGUUAAGCGUUCUCGCUUCUCCAAAACGAUUGUCUGCCAUGUCUYGGCUUGCCUUGGCAUGGUGGGCUACGUCGA